This 315-nucleotide unclassified non-coding RNA is filed under the name uncultured fungus. RNAcentral describes it as "partial contains small subunit ribosomal RNA, internal transcribed spacer 1, and 5.8S ribosomal RNA". The stretch from base 1 to 73 matches the Rfam family "Eukaryotic small subunit ribosomal RNA", at positions 1759 to 1831 of the family's 1831-position model. Lineage: Eukaryota; Fungi. The record is from RNAcentral.
UCAAACUUGGUCAUUUAGAGGAAGUAAAAGUCGUAACAAGGUUUCCGUAGGUGAACCUGCGGAAGGAUCAUUAUUGUGAAGGGAGUAAAUCUCCCUGGAGGGUUUUAACCCUUUCUACCCUUGAAUACUAUCUUUUUUGUUGCUUUGGCAGGCCCUGGGCAUGUGCCCACGCCAGCUGGGGAGUCUCCAGCCGGUGAGUGCCUGCCCAAAGCCACCCACCAUUCUUGUUUUAGGUGUUGUCAGAGAAAAGUAACAAAUUCUUCAAAAACUUUCAACAACGGAUCUCUUGGUUCUGGCAUCGAUGAAGAACGCAGC